Molecule: small nucleolar RNA, 102 nt
Rfam family: Small nucleolar RNA Z13/snr52
About the family: Z13 or snr52 is a member of the C/D class of snoRNA which contain the C (UGAUGA) and D (CUGA) box motifs. Most of the members of the box C/D family function in directing site-specific 2'-O-methylation of substrate RNAs.
Source: Rfam
AAUGAUCUUAUGAUGAACUAUUUCGGAUGUAAACACAGACCUGUUCCGAACAGCGCAAAAACCGUGUGGAGAUUUCCGUUGCCUUCCUUCUGAUCAGAUCAU